Frankia sp. is the source of this 75-nucleotide non-coding RNA. It matches the Rfam family "ASpks TB sRNA". NCBI's taxonomy places the organism in Bacteria, Bacillati, Actinomycetota, Actinomycetes, Frankiales, Frankiaceae. The record is from Rfam.
CUUGAUCGAACCGAUGUGCAGCGGGCGGUCGGCCGGGCGGUCCUGGCCGUAGGUGGCGAGCACGGCCUGCGCCUC